RNAcentral lists this non-coding RNA (25 nucleotides) under Mus musculus (house mouse). Lineage: Eukaryota; Metazoa; Chordata; Mammalia; Rodentia; Muridae. The record is from RNAcentral.
UUUGGACAUUGAUGGUAGGAGGGGU